Molecule: ribosomal RNA, 252 nt
Filed under: uncultured bacterium
Lineage: Bacteria
Description: partial 16S ribosomal RNA
Rfam family: Bacterial small subunit ribosomal RNA
Source: RNAcentral
UACGAAGGGGCUAGCGUUGUUCGGAUUUACUGGGCGUAAAGCGCACGUAGGCGGAUUGUUAAGUGAGGGGUGAAAUCCCGGGGCUCAACCUCGGAACUGCCUUUCAUACUGGCAAUCUAGAGUCCGGAAGAGGUGAGUGGAACUCCUAGUGUAGAGGUGGAAUUCGUAGAUAUUAGGAAGAACACCAGUGGCGAAGGCAGCUCACUGGUCCGGUACUGACGCUGAGGUGCGAAAGCGUGGGGAGCAAACAGG